CGAGCGGUAGAGAGGUGCUUGCACCUCUUGAGAGCGGCGGACGGCCGUGUAAUGCCUAGGAAUCUGCCUGGUAGUGGGGGAUAACGCCCUUGAAACGGACGCUAAUACCGCAUACGUCCUACGGGAGAAAGCAGGGGACCUUCGGGCCUUGCGCUAUCAGAUGAGCCUAGGUCGGAUUAGCUAGUUGGUGAGGUAAUGGCUCACCAAGGCGACAAUCCGUAACUGGUCUGAAACGAUGAU
This 240-nucleotide ribosomal RNA is filed under the name Pseudomonas sp. EA_S_83. RNAcentral describes it as "partial 16S ribosomal RNA". It matches the Rfam family "Bacterial small subunit ribosomal RNA", at positions 63 to 304 of the family's 1533-position model. Lineage: Bacteria; Pseudomonadati; Pseudomonadota; Gammaproteobacteria; Pseudomonadales; Pseudomonadaceae. The record is from RNAcentral.